RNAcentral lists this transfer RNA (84 nucleotides) under Bacteroidota bacterium. Its description in RNAcentral is "Bacteroidetes bacterium (grounwater metagenome) tRNA-Leu". It matches the Rfam family "tRNA". From Rfam's summary of the family: Transfer RNA (tRNA) molecules are approximately 80 nucleotides in length. Their secondary structure includes four short double-helical elements and three loops (D, anti-codon, and T loops). Further hydrogen bonds mediate the characteristic L-shaped molecular structure. tRNAs have two regions of fundamental functional importance: the anti-codon, which is responsible for specific mRNA codon recognition, and the 3' end, to which the tRNAs corresponding amino acid is attached (by aminoacyl-tRNA synthetases). tRNAs cope with the degeneracy of the genetic code in two manners: having more than one tRNA (with a specific anti-codon) for a particular amino acid; and 'wobble' base-pairing, i.e. permitting non-standard base-pairing at the 3rd anti-codon position. Lineage: Bacteria; Pseudomonadati; Bacteroidota. The record is from RNAcentral.
GCCCAGGUGGCGGAAUCGGUAGACGCGCUGGUCUCAAACACCAGUGGGCUAACCCCCGUACCGGUUCGACUCCGGUCCUGGGCA